UGGGGCUUGAAGGAUCCUGGUUUAGGCACUGGAUGGAUCUAAACUUUAUGUGCGAUGAACUAGCUAGGAAGUGAGCCGCCGCCGCCUCGUAGAACAGAGAAGGAUGUCGGGCAUGGCGAGGGAAAAUCUAGUGCGGAUUGAAGAGAUACAAGGGAGAGGAAGAGCUAUCGUGUCCUCUCAGCCGCUGAGGGGCGGUGAAAUUGUGCUCAGGGAUUCUCCAAUCCUCCUCUACUCUGCUUUUCCUCUCAAUGGACAACAACUGCAAUUCUCAACCUCAAUUUAUUGCGAUAACUGCUUCAGAAAGUUACAAUCAGCAUCGGCACCCUUAUCUUGCCCAUCUUGCUCUCAACAUCGUUUCUGUAGCCCAAAUUGCCUUUCGGUUUCAAUUGCCUCGUCCC
RNAcentral lists this unclassified non-coding RNA (398 nucleotides) under Hevea brasiliensis (rubber tree). The record is from RNAcentral. Lineage: Eukaryota; Viridiplantae; Streptophyta; Magnoliopsida; Malpighiales; Euphorbiaceae.